UCCGGCUUAUCACCGGCGGUUUCCUUAGAGUGCCCAACUGAAUGAUGGCAACUAAGGACGAGGGUUGCGCUCGUUGCGCCACUUAAGGCAACACCUCACGACACGAGCUGACGACAGCCAUGCAGCACCUGUGCAAGCUCCCCUUGCGGGGUCGUCCCACUUUCAUGGUUCUACCACUUGCAUGUCAAGGCCAGGUAAGGUUCUUCGCGUUGCAUCGAAUUAAGCCACAUACUCCACCGCUUGUGCGGGGACCCGUCAAUUCCUUUGAGUUUUAGCCUUGCGGCCGUACUCCCCAGGCGGGAUACUUAAUGCGUUAGCUGCGGCACGGAAGUCUUGCGACCCCCACACCUAGCACCCACCGUUUACGGCUAGGACUAC
This 378-nucleotide unclassified non-coding RNA is filed under the name uncultured bacterium. RNAcentral's name for it is "contains 16S-23S intergenic spacer region". The record is from RNAcentral.